RNAcentral lists this ribosomal RNA (462 nucleotides) under uncultured bacterium. Its description in RNAcentral is "bacterial SSU rRNA". It matches the Rfam family "Bacterial small subunit ribosomal RNA", at positions 29 to 474 of the family's 1533-position model. The record is from RNAcentral.
ACGAACGCUGGCGGCGUGCCUAACACAUGCAAGUCGAGCGAGAAAAGGGGGGCGAACUCCCUCGAGUACAGCGGCGCACGGGUGAGUAACACGUAGGUGAUCUCCCCUCGAGCCUGGAAUAACCUACCGAAAGGUGGGCUAAUACCGGAUAUGACCACGGAAGCCACGGCUUCUGCGGUGAAAGAUGGCCUCUACCUGUAAGCUAUCACUCAAGGAUGAGCCUGCGUGCCAUUAGCUAGUUGGUGAGGUAACGGCUCACCAAGGCGAUGAUGGCUAGCUGGUCUGAGAGGAUGACCAGCCACACUGGGACUGAAACACGGCCCAGACUCCUACGGGAGGCAGCAGUGGGGGAUAUUGCGCAAUGGGCGAAAGCCUGACGCAGCGACGCCGCGUGGGUGAUGAAGGCCUUCGGUCGUAAGCCUGUCGAGGGGGAAGAAUCGGUUGCGACCCAACACGUCGUAG